AAUAUCUGUUUAAACCCUGUUUAAUAUACUCGUCCACUCGAUUACUGUAUUAUUCCUAUUCUAUGAAGAUCGGCAUAAUAAUUUUGUCUACUCUUAUAAAGUAGGUGUACGUUCAAUUUAUACUUUUAUUGAAUUAGAAAAUGGUACGUUUCAGCAGCGUACCUGCUUCGAAAGAUCGAUGGGAAAAAAAGUAAGACGAAGUAAGACGACGUUCCCGUGCUCUUCUGGAAGGGUAAUUGCGAGGGGUGGAAGCGAAGCGAAGGGGUGGGUUGAGAAAGGUUCGCAAAGGGGUGAUUCGAUCAGAAGUCUAUAGGAUUAACCGGUAGUUUGCUUAGAACGAGGUCAAGAUCGACUUUUCCCUCGACAUCUUUGCCUCUCAAAACAAACUUAUAACAAAAA
Molecule: long non-coding RNA, 399 nt
Filed under: Polistes fuscatus (common paper wasp)
Lineage: Eukaryota; Metazoa; Arthropoda; Insecta; Hymenoptera; Vespidae
Description: uncharacterized LOC122526228
Source: RNAcentral